GAUGAACGCUGGCGGCGUGCCUAAUACAUGCAAGUCGAGCGAACAGACGAGGAGCUUGCUCCUCUGACGUUAGCGGCGGACGGGUGAGUAACACGUGUAUAACCUACCUAUAAGACUGGGAUAACUUCGGGAAACCGGAGCUAAUACCGGAUAAUAUAUUGAACCGCAUGGUUCAAUAGUGAAAGACGGUUUUGCUGUCACUUAUAGAUGGAUCCGCGCCGCAUUAGCUAGUUGGUAAGUUAACGGCUUACCAAGGCGACGAUGCGUAGCCGACCUGAGAGGGUGAUCGGCCACACUGGAACUGAGACACGGUCCAGACUCCUACGGGAGGCAGCAGUAGGGAAUCUUCCGCAAUGGGCGAAAGCCUGACGGAGCAAGGCCGCGUGAGUGAUGAAGGUCUUCGGAUCGUAAAACUCUGUUAUUAGGGAAGAACAAAUGUGUAAGUAACUAUGCACGUCUUGACGGUACCUAAUCAGAAAGCCACGGCUAACUACGUG
Molecule: ribosomal RNA, 497 nt
Filed under: uncultured bacterium
Lineage: Bacteria
Description: partial 16S ribosomal RNA
Rfam family: Bacterial small subunit ribosomal RNA
Source: RNAcentral